Erinaceus europaeus (western European hedgehog) is the source of this 130-nucleotide small nucleolar RNA. NCBI's taxonomy places the organism in Eukaryota, Metazoa, Chordata, Mammalia, Eulipotyphla, Erinaceidae. The record is from Ensembl.
GCACCUGAAUCUUUCCCACUCCUUGCUCCUGCAUGUAGGAGUGGGGACAGAUGGUGCUAUAACAUAGCAGAGGAAAUCCAGAUGGGUUUCCAUUGUCUUGAAACCUGUCUCUACAACUCUCGCCACACUU